Molecule: transfer RNA, 64 nt
Filed under: Anomolachesilla palaciosi
Lineage: Eukaryota; Metazoa; Arthropoda; Insecta; Psocodea; Lachesillidae
Description: tRNA-Ala
Rfam family: tRNA
About the family: Transfer RNA (tRNA) molecules are approximately 80 nucleotides in length.
Source: RNAcentral
AAGAAUAUAGUUAAUUAUAACAUUUGAUUUGCAAUUAAAAAGUAUUGAUACCCAAUUUUUCUUA